CCUACGGGAGGCUGCAGUGGGGAAUAUUGCACAAUGGGGGAAACCCUGAUGCAGCGACGCCGCGUGAGUGAAGAAGUAUUUCGUUACGUAAAGCUCUAUCAGCAGGGAAGAAACACUGACCUUACGGUCAGCAGACGGUACCUGAGUAAGAAGCCACGGCUAACUACGUGCCAGCAGCCGCGGUAAUUCGUAGGGGGCAAGCGUUAUCCGGAUUUACUGGGGGUAAAGGGAGCGUAGACGGUGAGCCAAGUCUGAAGUGAAAUGCCGCGGCUUAACUGCGGAACUGCUUUGGAAACUGGCGAACUAGAGUGCGGGAGGGGUAAGCGGAAUUCCUAGUGUAGCGGUGAAAUGCGUAGAUAUUAGGAGGAACACCAGUGGCGAAGGCGGCUUACUGGACCGUAACUGACGUUGAGGCUCGAAAGCGUGGGGAGCAAACAGGAUUAGAUACCCUGGUAGUC
RNAcentral lists this ribosomal RNA (458 nucleotides) under uncultured bacterium. RNAcentral describes it as "partial 16S ribosomal RNA". It matches the Rfam family "Bacterial small subunit ribosomal RNA", at positions 338 to 795 of the family's 1533-position model. The record is from RNAcentral.